Molecule: long non-coding RNA, 895 nt
Filed under: Ananas comosus (pineapple)
Lineage: Eukaryota; Viridiplantae; Streptophyta; Magnoliopsida; Poales; Bromeliaceae
Description: long non-coding RNA (ACOM_LNC019426)
Source: RNAcentral
ACGCAAAAUGAAUCAUCUUUUCUUAACAAAUAAGAGAUAUACUCUAUAGCUGCUUUUGGUUCAGAUAUAAGUAAGAACUAUUUAUUUCAGAACUAGUAGGUAUAAAUUCAGAUAUAAACAAUAACCAGACCAAUUUAGUGUUUGGAAGAAAAUUAGAUUGUUCAUUUAAAUAAGGUAAAUGGUAUUUGAAUGGUUAGAUUGAAACAAGAUGAAUAAGAAUUAUAAUUUCAGAUUAAAAUACUUUGUCUAAUUAAUUUACAUCAAAAUAAUAAUUAAAAAUAAUUUAAUAAAUUAAUAAAUUUAUUAACUAUGAAUAUUGUAUAAGAUAAUAAAAAUCGAUUAAUUAAUUAAUUAUAAAAAAUAAUUUAACUUUUCAAUUAAUUAGUAAAUUAUUUUAGGCAGAUAACUAGUAAAAUAAAUUAAUUAGAUUAAUAAAAAUAUUAAUAGUUGAUUAAUAUAAAUAUUAGUUUAUGGAUAAUAAAUAUAUUAAAUUAUUAAUAAUUAAUUAGCUAAUUAAUACUAAGUAAUAAAUAAAUUAAUAACUUUAUUAUUAAGCAAUGAAUAAUGAUUUAAAUAUACUAAUUAGAUUAAUUAAUAAUUUAAUAUCAUAAUAAUUAAAAUUAAAUUUUUAUUUUAAUUAAUCUUGUUCCCACUUGGGAACAAGUUUGUUCUAAGAAAAAAGGUGCAUGGAAUACUAGUUUCGGACUUAUACCGGAUUAUACUAGCUUAUUUUAGAGAUCCAAAAACUACUACUUUCGGAUAUAGAAAUUUACGUUUGGAAAUAAAGAGAGGAACAAGGACUUAUUCUCCCAUGUUCCCAAACCAAACGCUGCAUAUAAUCUCUUUCAAUUUUAUGACAAACAGUGAAAUCAUCCGUGUUAAAGAUUUUCUGUGU